UACGUAGGGUGCAAGCGUUGUCCGGAAUUAUUGGGCGUAAAGAGCUCGUAGGCGGUUUGUCGCGUCUGGUGUGAAAAUCCAGGGCUUAACCCUGGACCUGCAUCGGGUACGGGCAGACUAGAGUGCGGUAGGGGAGAUCGGAAUUCCUGGUGUAGCGGUGAAAUGCGCAGAUAUCAGGAGGAACACCGGUGGCGAAGGCGGAUCUCUGGGCAUCAUCUGACGCUGAGGCGCGAAAGCGUGGGUAGCAAACAGG
This 253-nucleotide ribosomal RNA is filed under the name uncultured bacterium. RNAcentral describes it as "partial 16S ribosomal RNA". It matches the Rfam family "Bacterial small subunit ribosomal RNA", at positions 524 to 776 of the family's 1533-position model. The record is from RNAcentral.